CCUGGUGGCUCAGAGGUAAAGUGUCCGCCUCCAAUGCGGGAGACCCGGGUUCAAUCCCUGGGUCAGGA
This 68-nucleotide transfer RNA is filed under the name Ovis aries (sheep). It matches the Rfam family "tRNA". From Rfam's summary of the family: Transfer RNA (tRNA) molecules are approximately 80 nucleotides in length. Their secondary structure includes four short double-helical elements and three loops (D, anti-codon, and T loops). Lineage: Eukaryota; Metazoa; Chordata; Mammalia; Artiodactyla; Bovidae. The record is from Rfam by way of RNAcentral.